UCUGCGUCCAUUAAAUCGACGUUUUGCCAUCGCGUUAUCCGUUUGUCAUCUAUGAACACGACAUCGUGGGGGUGUAAAGCGCUCCCGGUUAGGAAUGCACGGUUCUAUCUUAACACCAUUUUCCCGAUUGCUAACUGCUUUUAGUGAAAUGGCUUCCUCCUGUGGAUUUUUGAUGAUAUGAUGGUGAAAUGGCUCCCUCUGGUUCAAAUAUUGAGCAGCAAGCCUUUGACGGGAUUAAUACACCGACCGCGAUUGAUCCAGACAGCGCAGCUGAUGGUAAAACAAGAUCCAUCUCCAACAUUUUUAUGAGAAAUCAAAUUUUAUUUUUUUAGAUUUUAUACAAUUUAUCACCCAACCCGGCUUCCAGACUGUUAUCGAUCUCACGCAAGAUGCCGACGAAGAUCCUACUGUCAACGUAACAGACAAACCUCACAUGCUACAUGAUUCCACUCCGGCGCACGUCUAGAAUCCAAUAGGAUCUGGCGGCGAACCACUUCCUGGACCCAGCGAUGAACCAGCAAGAAAGAAGCCUAGAAAAACGAAUCGCCCCACCUCUCCGGUCUGUCCUGGACCAGGCGACGAACCACCAAGAAAGACUUAUCGUUUUACAGCGGUGGUCCGACCUGAACCGAACGGCGAACUACCAAGAAAGGCUUAUCGUUUUACCCCGGCGAUCAGUCCUGAGAGCUCUCCAGAGAGGAAAACUCUUUUGUGUGACACCACCGAAUAACCUGGCGACCAGUCCUGAGACCGCGCUGUUUUAUGCAGACUCGAGUAGAAGCCAUAAGGAUGACGUGACUACCUGGGGCACGUCUCAAAUCGAUGCUUGGGACCAGAGUUCUUGGACGAGCGAGCGUGACGAGGUGUCAGCCACCAAUGUGGGUCAAACACCAUAUCCUUCUCGCUCACCGUCGUCGGAAGUAGAAGUGGAAAAAGUGCCGGCGCCUCAGCCGGUUGAUGAACCAUUCGAUGAUCUGCCUCCGAUUCUAGCCCACUAAUUCGAUAGAAUCAUUUGGUCAAAAGUUUCGCGACGCUCAGGUUGACAUAAACAACAAAUACAUCGAACUCCGUGAUGUACAAGAUGAUAUUAACAACAAAUUGAUUGCGUUGCGCAACGAGUCUCGUGAGAGACAAAUCGAAACCCAUAGCAGAUUAGACAUGCUGCACAGCGAGCUCCGAGCGUAUCACCUCGAGACACGCAGUCGAUUCGGUGCUCAGGAUCGCUUUAUUCAGGAUCUGGCCAAUGAAAUAUUCCAUCGCGUCAAUGCUAUGAGAUCAACGAUUGAUCAGCAGUUUGAUAGAAAUGAUCGUAUAGUGAGUUAAUACCAACGGGAAUUGAUGCUCAUUUUGCAUCACCUUAUUCUCACAAUCGUAGAUGAGACCACAGAGUCAAAUUGAAUAUAAAUGUAUUCCGAGUAAUUCUUAUAUCGCCCGUUUAUUGUAAUAUUUAAUCUAUACUUUGUUUACAUAUAACCUGAUAUUUCAUGUAAUUCUUAUAUCUCACGUCUGCUAUGAUUUUUUUUAUAUUUCAUGUAUACUUUGUUUACAUAUAAUCCGAUAUUUCAUUUAUACUUCGAUUUUGUAACAAGUCAUAUAUGCUUUUUAUAUUCAGAUUUUGUAAUAGUUCAUUUAUUUAUUUUUUUAUACUAUAUGAAAUGUAUAGUUCAUGUAUGCUUGUUUUAACUCUAUCAUUUUGUAAUAGUACGAGUUUUGGUCUGAAAUCUAAAAAUGGAUGGGUCAGACGACUUAUAUCAAUCAGACCAGUCCUCCACAGAACUAAUGCCGGACGAGAUCGAAAUGCUAAGUAUACUGCCGGACUCAUUAGAACAGUAUUUGUUUAAUCUAGAAUCCCCUGCUAUUUUGGGUCAUUUUGAAUUAGCCGUAAAUUCAAAUAUGAAUUUGCUUGAUCCUCUGCUAAGCCUAGACAACGAUCCCGUUGUUCAACACGGCGGUGUUUUAAACAGCCCACCGGCAGCACUCCGUCGGUAAUGAUACUUCGCAACCAUCCACAUCAGGUAAUGUCGACCCUACUACACAGACUCGAUUAAGCCAUACAGACAUUGAGAGGUUGAUUCGCGAGGGUGGGGACGUUAAUGGAUAUCAUGCUUUACCACGACCUUGUUUCAAUAGCGUGACAUUGAGAAGGACUACGAAUCUGAGAGAGAUUAACGCUACAGAUUUGGCCUCUUACCACAUCCGCUUACACGACAAGCUUACUGGAAUUGUGAAUUUCGCUAGGGAAUUUGACACAAAUUCUCCGGUGAUCAAUAUCACAUUGACGGCUCCCAGUUUACAGACGCCCAUAAGUGGGAUUUUAACCCACGGUAAUAAUUACGACGUGGAUGGGUUUAUGGAUCAAAUUGAAAGAGUUUUACAGAGCAACGACUAGUUACUAUCUGACCAAACCGUAGAAUUUAAAGCUUCUGUAGCCAUGUGUAACAGAAAUGAGUCGAACCAGACAAAUUAAAGAGUCUAUCAAAGCUGUAUGCAUUGAAACACGAGAGCUGAAUUCCUCAGGAAGUCAUAAAUCAGUUCUAGUGCCACAAGAACCAAGCAAGAUAACCAACCAACCAACUUGUUCACACAACAGCUUUCAACAUUAACACCAAUAGAACAAUUAUUUACAAUUUUAAUUCAAAGAAGAAGAUUGUCAAAUUUAUUGUUCGUAAUUGAAAUGCAACGCUGGACAUCACAUGAAAACCCAUGAGAGUACUGCACAAGUCCCAUUAGCGUUUAGUCGGCUUUUAGUCCCUAGCUGCUGCUAUUGGCCAUGUCUGUUUCUAGGCUCUAGCUAUGCUUCUAGCCAUGCUGUGUAGUCAUCACUGUUCUUUGAGCACGGUUCCAGCAUGGCUGCCUGCUGCUACUAUGCCACGAUGAGAAGGAACACAACCUAGUCUCGUCAAACUUUAUUUCUUUUCUUUUCCGUUUGAGAGUUUCAUGUUCUGAGUUAAGUUUUGUAACGUCGACCUCGUCUGCGCGUUUGAACUCCAACCAGCCACACAACUCCAGCUUCAGCCAACGCCCAAGCACGGGCUCCCCAAGACGUCACUUCCAGCCAAUCAGCGACACUGGGAUACCCCUUUCAACGGGAGUCCCUUUCACGGCAAACGAAGGCAACGUAUUCCCAGAUAUUUGUUGUGCUGGUGUAUCUAAUAUAAUUUUAACCCCAUUGAGAAACUCAAUGCGAGCGCUAAUUAUGUGAUUGAUGGUUGUUCAUGUUUAUGCAAUUUAACGUAUUGCUGUGAACUUGGGAUUCCAUAUUUCCAUUCUCUUAAACUCAUCUUUCCCUAACUUUCGACCUUCCUGCAACUUGUGUGAAUGUGUGUGUGCGUGCGUUUAUGUGUUAGAUUAGUUUAUAUGUCUUAGAUUUAUCUAAUAAAGCCUUAUUCAUAUUGAAAAGAGAAGUAUCUUGUGUUUGUGCUUACAAGUUAAUUUCUUAAACUGCCGAUCUUGUU
This is a long non-coding RNA of Carassius gibelio (silver crucian carp), 3455 nucleotides long. RefSeq lists it as uncharacterized. Lineage: Eukaryota; Metazoa; Chordata; Actinopteri; Cypriniformes; Cyprinidae. The record is from RefSeq and is a predicted model, not a curated record. The transcript has 4 exons.